AUGCUGAGAAAAGGAGAUCACACCUCUGUCCAGCCUGCACCGUCCCCUUGGCAUGCCCUGAAGACACGAGGCCUAAGUCAAGGUCAAAGACACGGCCCUCCUGGUUGUGAAGAUUCCAAAGACUCCCAGUUGCAUGAGGAGGUUACCCAGAAUGUCAGAUUCAGAGCGAUUCAGCAAGAACCCUUCAAAAUUCAAUGUGCUGUGUGGAAGCAUAUGGAAACUCAUGCUGUGUAUACAGAUAGGAAAGAAAGGAAAGAGAUAUUUCACAGGCAAUCACGGAAGAAAGAUGUGUAUGAGGAGACCUCCUGGGGACCUCAACUCGUCAGAGGCAAUGGUAGGGAGCCGAGUAGCCACUUCAGUUAAUUGUGCAUUUUGAUACAAAACCUGCAUUAUGAUGAGGAUCUUGGAUCUAUUUCUCAUCUUGCAUGUGGCCCCCGUAGAGCUGAUCUGAAUGACUAGCUUCAAAGAAAGCCAACAUCUUCAUCAGCACCCCAGGAGAGCUGUGUUGGACACAGGCGGUGACAAUGGAACUGUAUUUUUGGCCCAGGGCAUGGAAUCACCACUUAUGCAUGAGGAGCAAUGAGCUGGGGCAUUUAACACUGCACAGCUUGUGAGAAAUAUAACUCUCCAUGCUGCACAAACUCUGGUGACUUGUCUCCCACCAACAGACUCUCAUGUGUAAGGAGUGAUGGGGCUCUCAAGAGCAAGGUGAACGUGGCUAGGUAAGUCCUGAAGACAGGAGAAGCCAACUGUAUCCAUUUCCGAUUGUUGAGAUGGGGGUAAAACAACACAAAUUCAUUAUCUGGCAGUUCUGUAGGUCAGAAGUCCUAAAAUCAAGACAUCAAAAGGGCUGUGUCUCUUCUGAAGGCUCUAGAGGAAAAUCUGUAUCCUUGCCUUUUCCAGUUUCUAGAAGCUGCCAUGUUCCUUGGCUCAUGGCCCUUUCUUCCAUCUUCAGAGCCAGCAGAAUAGCAUCUUCAAACCUCUGACCUCGACAUCCACCCUCACAUCUCAUUCUUUCUUUCUUUUUUUUUUUUUUUUUUGAGACGGAGUCUUACUCUGUCGCCCAGGCUAGAGUGCAGUGGCCGGAUCUCAGCUCACCGCAACCUCCGCCUCCUGGGUUCACGCCAUUCUCCUGCCUCAGCCUCCCGAGUGGCUGGGACCACAGGCGCCCGCCACCUCGCCCGGCUAAUUUUUUGUAUUUUUAGUAGAGACGGGGUUUCACCGUGUUAGCCAGGAGGGUCUCGAUCUCCUGACCUCGUGAUCCGCCCGUCUCGGCCUCCCAAAGUGCUGGGAUUACAGGCUUGAGCCACUGCGCCCGGCCAACAUCUCAUUCUUUCAUUCAUCUAACUCCUUUCCCUUAUAA
This 1363-nucleotide long non-coding RNA is filed under the name Piliocolobus tephrosceles (Ugandan red Colobus). RNAcentral describes it as "lncRNA (ENSPTEG00000026749.1)". The record is from RNAcentral. Lineage: Eukaryota; Metazoa; Chordata; Mammalia; Primates; Cercopithecidae.